AUGCAUCUACGAAAGAAAGAGAAACAGUCUGAAAGUACUUGUAUUGAGCUGAUUUGUAUAGUAGUAGUACUUUUUUAUAGAGUACCUAGAAUAGAUCCGAAACUCUUUCUUCAUGGGAUAAAUGCCAAUUUAUUUACAUGCAAGAGUAAACAGUCAACGACACUAGAAAGCUCACUACAGUAGUAAAAAAAUCAGGCCAAUCAUUUAUUCAAUUCACCACGA
RNAcentral lists this long non-coding RNA (222 nucleotides) under Sorghum bicolor (sorghum). RNAcentral describes it as "long non-coding RNA (SBIC_LNC014190)". Lineage: Eukaryota; Viridiplantae; Streptophyta; Magnoliopsida; Poales; Poaceae. The record is from RNAcentral.